AUUGAACGCUGGCGGCAUGCCUUACACAUGCAAGUCGAACGGCAGCACGGGCUUCGGCCUGGUGGCGAGUGGCGAACGGGUGAGUAAUGCAUCGGAACGUACCGUGUAAUGGGGGAUAACGUAGCGAAAGUUACGCUAAUACCGCAUACGCCCUGAGGGGGGAAAGUGGGGGACCGCAAGGCCUCACGUUAUACGAGCGGCCGAUGUCGGAUUAGCUAGUUGGUGGGGUAAAGGCCUACCAAGGCGACGAUCCGUAGCGGGUCUGAGAGGAUGAUCCGCCACACUGGGACUGAGACACGGCCCAGACUCCUACGGGAGGCAGCAGUGGGGAAUUUUGGACAAUGGGCGCAAGCCUGAUCCAGCCAUGCCGCGUGAGUGAAGAAGGCCUGGUUGUAAGCUCUUUCUAGCAGGAACGAAACGGUAGGCCGACUAAU
Molecule: ribosomal RNA, 434 nt
Filed under: uncultured bacterium
Lineage: Bacteria
Description: bacterial SSU rRNA
Rfam family: Bacterial small subunit ribosomal RNA
Source: RNAcentral